CCUACGGGAGGCAGCAGUGGGGAAUAUUGCGCAAUGGGCGAAAGCCUGACGCAGCGACGCCGCGUGAGGGAUGAAGGCCUUCGGGUCGUAAACCUCUUUCAGCAGGGAAGAAGCGCAAGUGACGGUACUUGCAGAAGAAGCACCGGCUAACUACGUGCCAGCAGCCGCGGUAAUACGUAGGGUGCAAGCGUUGUCCGGAAUUAUUGGGCGUAAAGAGCUCGUAGGCGGUCUGUCGCGUCUGCUGUGAAAACCUAGGGCUUAACUCUGGGCGUGCAGUGGGUACGGGCAGACUAGAGUGCGGUAGGGGAGACUGGAAUUCCUGGUGUAGCGGUGAAAUGCGCAGAUAUCAGGAGGAACACCGGUGGCGAAGGCGGGUCUCUGGGCCGUAACUGACGCUGAGGAGCGAAAGCAUGGGGAGCGAACAGGAUUAGAUACCCUGGUAGUCCAUGCCGUAAACGUUGGGCGCUAGGUGUGGGGUCCAUUCCACGGAUUCUGCGCCGCAGCUACGCAUAGCGCCCGCCGUCGGGAGGUACGGCCGGCCGACGGAACGUAAACGUUAAAGGUUAAAGUUAGUACGGCGUUGAGACGUUGCCGACGGACGACGACGAGGGAGGAGG
RNAcentral lists this ribosomal RNA (617 nucleotides) under uncultured bacterium. RNAcentral's name for it is "bacterial SSU rRNA". The stretch from base 1 to 521 matches the Rfam family "Bacterial small subunit ribosomal RNA", at positions 338 to 873 of the family's 1533-position model. The record is from RNAcentral.